This 253-nucleotide ribosomal RNA is filed under the name uncultured bacterium. RNAcentral describes it as "partial 16S ribosomal RNA". It matches the Rfam family "Bacterial small subunit ribosomal RNA", at positions 524 to 776 of the family's 1533-position model. The record is from RNAcentral. RNAcentral also lists the same sequence under 1 other name.
GACGAACCGUCCGAACGUUAUUCGGAAUUACUGGGCUUAAAGGGUGCGUAGGCGGCGCAGAAAGUAGGGUGUGAAAUCCCUCGGCUCAACCGAGGAACUGCGCCCUAAACUACUGUGCUUGAGGAAGAUAGAGGUGAGCGGAACUUAGGGUGGAGCGGUGAAAUGCGUUGAUAUCCUAAGGAACACCGGUGGCGAAGGCGGCUCACUGGAUCUUUUCUGACGCUGAGGCACGAAAGCUAGGGGAGCGAACGGG